CAGAGGUAACUUGCUACUUGCUGACGACCGGCGCACGGGUGCGUAACGCGUAUAAGAACCUACCUUUUACAGUGAGAAUAGCCCAGAGAAAUUUGGAUUAAUGCUCCAUAGUAUUAUUAGAAUGGCGGUCGCUUAAUAACUUGAAAGUUUGCGGCGAGUACACAAGACUGGCUACUGCGUUCGUAUAUAGCUAAUAUGGUACAGGUAACAGGCGUACCAAGGGUGACGAUAGAUAGGGGUCCUGAGAGGGAGAUCCCCCACACUGGUACUGAGACACGGACCAGACUCCUACGGGAGGCAGCAGUGAGGAAUAUUGGACCAUGGAGGCAACUCUGAUCCAGCCAUGCCGCGUGCAGGCAGACGGCCCUAUGGGUUGUAAACUGCUUUUAUACGGGAAGAAAACCAACUACGUGUAGUUGGCUGACGGUACCGUAAGAAUACGCACCGGCUAACUCCGUGCCAGCAGCCGCGGUAAUACCGAGGGUGCACGCGUUAUCCCAGGAAUCAUUGGGUUUAAAGGGUCCGUAUGCGGACUGAUAAGUCAGGGGUGAAAUCCAACAGCUUAACUGUUGAACUGACUUUGAUACUGUUAGUCUUGAAUUAUAUGGACGUCGAUAGACUGUGUAGUGUAGCGGUGAAAUGCUUAGAGAUUACCCAGAUACCGAUUGGAA
Molecule: ribosomal RNA, 671 nt
Filed under: uncultured Bacteroidota bacterium
Lineage: Bacteria; Pseudomonadati; Bacteroidota
Description: bacterial SSU rRNA
Rfam family: Bacterial small subunit ribosomal RNA
Source: RNAcentral